Molecule: ribosomal RNA, 484 nt
Filed under: uncultured bacterium
Lineage: Bacteria
Description: partial 16S ribosomal RNA
Rfam family: Bacterial small subunit ribosomal RNA
Source: RNAcentral
AUUGAACGCUGGCGGCAUGCUUUACACAUGCAAGUCGAACGGCAGCGCGGGCUUCGGCCUGGCGGCGAGUGGCGAACGGGUGAGUAAUGCAUCGGAACUUGCCCAUUAGUGGGGGAUAGCCCGGCGAAAGCCGGAUUAAUACCGCAUACGACCUGAGGGUGAAAACGGGUGACCGAAAGGCCUCGCGCUUUUGAGGCGGCCGAGGUCGGAUUAGCUAGUUGGUGGGGUAAAGGCUUACCAAGGCGACGAUCCGUAGCUGGUCUGAGAGGACGACCAGCCACACUGGGACUGAGACACGGCCCAGACUCCUACGGGAGGCAGCAGUAGGGAAUUUUGGACAAUGGGGGCAACCCUGAUCGAGCCACGCCGCGUGAGGGAAGAAGGCCUUCGGGUUGUAAAACGCUUUUGUUCGGGAAGAAAUCCUCUGGGAUAAUACCCCGGGGGGAUGACGGUACCGAACGAAUAAGCACCGGCUAACUACGUG